GGUAUUAGAGUCGAGUAUAGAUUUAUUUUUACAAAUCUAGUCUUGAGUUUGUUACAGAAAAAGAAAAGGGUCACAAGUUAAAAAUUUAAAAUCUGAUUCGUUCUUGUUUGUUGUUUUUACACUAGAUCAGUAUUCUCUAGUGUUAUUUGAGUGUAGAUGUGAAAUUUCAAGCCAUGUGGAGUUGAUUGGGAGAUUUCACCAUUGUUAGAUUGAAAACUUGAAGAACAAAGUAAAAUGGAUUUUAAGGAUUGAGUGAGGUUUUGGACAUCAAAGAGCUGGGCUUGUUCUCUAACUUGAGGAGAAGCUAAAUCUGAAAUUCAGAGGGAUUCCAAGAAAUAUUGAAGUUAGAAUUUUGAUUGUUCUUCAUGUCUUCGAAGAAGUUACAAAAGUACCAAGUUUGAUCCAUACACCAAAUGAAAUGUUUGGAUUAAGUGUUUCAAGAUACAAAGGGGGUAAUUUCUAGGUGAAGUGGGCCCCACAAAAGGAAGCGAAGGAUCAGAAAAUAUCAACCAGAAGUCCAAUGCACAAAUUUCAAAUGAGAUUUCACAACAAAAGGUUACCCAGUGUAGAGGGGACCACAAA
RNAcentral lists this unclassified non-coding RNA (582 nucleotides) under Hevea brasiliensis (rubber tree). The record is from RNAcentral. Lineage: Eukaryota; Viridiplantae; Streptophyta; Magnoliopsida; Malpighiales; Euphorbiaceae.